UGCUGUAGUUAAUGAAGUCAACGUUGAUGAAUUUCAGUUCUUCUUUGAUUUCAUCGCUCACCAAGAAAUCUUCACAUCUUUUUAAGAUCAACGUUCCUUUUACCUUUGAAGGCUCUCGCUCCUUUUUACUUUUCUUUUCUUCUCCAACUUUUGCAUCAGAUCCAUCACAUUUUCUUUUUGUGCCGGAUCCUCCGCCAACUAGCUGACCAAAAAUAUCCAUGGGGAAUCGCUUCAAGUAAUCCAUUGUUGUAAGCUUUAAAUUCAAGUACGAAUGAGAGAGUGAGCCAGCACUACCCUUCAUAUAUAACAAAGUGCGGAAGAAGGGCUUGUAAAAUGGUAUAAGACCUCGCAACGACAGGCCAUCUUGAACAUAGAAGGUAGGUAGGACAGACAAACGAAGGCGGGACAAGGGCUCGAUAGUCGGUGACAAGGAAGACAGGCCACCUAUGACAUAAUGCGCGACAAUCGGUGACGAGAAGGCAGGGCAGGUCAGACAAAAAGUAGGGCGCGACAGUCAUUGACGAGAAGGCAAGGGCAGGUGAGGGCGCGACAGUCGGUAACCGAGGAAGAAGACGGGCCCACCUCUGACAUAAUCGAGCGCUACAAAUCGGUGACUAGAAGGCGGGACACCUCUGACAUAAUCGAGCUCGCGACAGUUAUUGACGAGAAGGCAGGACAGACCUCGGUGAUAAUCGCGACAGUCAUUGACGAGAAGGAAGGUAGACCUGAGAUAAUAAACGAGCGCGAUAGUCAUUGACGAGAAGGCGGGACCACCUGAGAUAAUUGAGAGCGCGAUAGUCAUUGACGAGGAAGACGGGACCCCACUAAAAAACUCGCGAGCAAAAUCUGACGAGGAAGACGGGUCAAUCGACAAAAAUUCGAGAGCUCAUUCAGUCCCUGCAGAGGUCGCGACCAAUCAAAAAGCCGAUAAAGUCGAUGACGUCACGUGAAUUUAGGUCUGAAGCCACCGAAAAAUGAAAACUCGGUUUUACUAUACUUCCAUGGAUGACUUUUGGACAUGAUAGGUGGCCUGAGAUUUAGACUGGCCUUAUUACUCCAGCUUUUAAAGGGAAUAAGAAAUGGAAUUCUAAGAAAGCCAGGCCAUGUCACCCGGCACCCAUGGAUUUAUAGUAAACCUCAGUUUUCAAUUUUUCGGUGGCCCAGACCCUCAUUACUAUGCGUGUGACGUCAUUUGUUUACCAAUCCCGGGCUUUUCAUUGGUCGCGUCCUCUGCACCGGUCGAUCGAGCUCGCGUUUUCGGUCGAUUUUGACGGUCUUCCUCGUCAAGUUUGUCUGAUUUUUGCGAGCUUUUUAUUUAGGGGGUGACUUUUCGUCUUCCUCGUCAAAGUUUUGGAGUUGUCUCGCGCGAUUAUCCGUCCGUCCUUCUUCUCAGACCUGUUCGCCCCCACGGAUUAUGGUAAAUCGGUCGAGUCCUCUGCGUCAGUCGAUCGAUCGAGCUCGCGGUCAAACACAAACGAGAACGUCGAACACCUAAAUCGCGCUCUCAAUUAAAAACAAAACGAGAACGACAAAUCACACAAAAAAGUAUAUAAUUUCACAUUU
RNAcentral lists this small RNA (1563 nucleotides) under Haliotid herpesvirus 1. Lineage: Duplodnaviria; Heunggongvirae; Peploviricota; Herviviricetes; Herpesvirales; Malacoherpesviridae. The record is from RNAcentral.